UAACUGUCGCAGUCGGAAAUUGUAGUCGUCCAUUUGCGACUAUGUAACGACAAACGUCUCCCUUCAAUAAUAUAAUCGUUAAAUAGUCGUUACUAUACGAGUAUUUGCCGACUAACAUAUUUAGUCGUAAAAUAACGACUAUUUGACUACUAAUGUUCAGGUUGUCGUAUAUGUGUCGUAAAACUGUCGUGACGUAGUCGCCAAAAACGACGACUACAUCUGUUGUUGCUUUCUGUAGUCGUUGUUUGUCUGUUUUCUUGUAGUGAUAUUAUACAUGUUUUAAAAAUUACUCAUAUAUUUUGAGUAUUUGUGUAAUUACAAUUAACACUCUUGAUUAUU
This 339-nucleotide small RNA is filed under the name Arabidopsis thaliana (thale cress). RNAcentral's name for it is "ATSL263760". Lineage: Eukaryota; Viridiplantae; Streptophyta; Magnoliopsida; Brassicales; Brassicaceae. The record is from RNAcentral.